GACCAGACUCCUACGGGAGGCAGCAGUGGGGAAUAUUGCACAAUGGGGGAAACCCUGAUGCAGCGACGCCGCGUGAGCGAAGAAGUACCUCGGUAUGUAAAGCUCUAUCAGCAGGGAAGAAAAUGACGGUACCUGACUAAGAAGCCCCGGCUAACUACGUGCCAGCAGCCGCGGUAAUACGUAGGGGGCAAGCGUUAUCCGGAUUUACUGGGUGUAAAGGGAGCGUAGACGGCAGUGCAAGUUCGGAGUGAAAGCCCGGGGCUCAACCCUGGGACUGCUCUGGAAACUGUAAAGCUGGAGUGCGGGAGGGGCAGGCGGAAUUCCUGGUGUAGCGGUGAAAUGCGUAGAUAUCAGGAGGAACACCGGCGGCGAAGGCGGCCUGCUGGACCGUAACUGACAUUGAGGCUCGAAAGCGUGGGGAGCAAACAGGAUUAGAUACCCGAGUA
This 446-nucleotide ribosomal RNA is filed under the name uncultured bacterium. RNAcentral describes it as "bacterial SSU rRNA". It matches the Rfam family "Bacterial small subunit ribosomal RNA", at positions 329 to 792 of the family's 1533-position model. The record is from RNAcentral.